This 500-nucleotide ribosomal RNA is filed under the name uncultured bacterium. RNAcentral's name for it is "bacterial SSU rRNA". It matches the Rfam family "Bacterial small subunit ribosomal RNA", at positions 20 to 518 of the family's 1533-position model. The record is from RNAcentral.
UGGCUCAGGAUGAACGCAGCGACAGGCUAACACAUGCAAGCGAGGGCAGCAUAAAAGUAGCAAUACUUGGUGGCGACCGGCGCACGGGUGAGUAACGCGUAUGCAACCUACCUAUCAGAGGGGAAUAACCCGGCGAAAGUCGGACUAAUACCGCAUAAAACAGGGGCACCGCAUGGUGAUAUUUGUUAAAGAAAUUCGCUGAUAGAUGGGCAUGCGUUCCAUUAGGUAGUUGGUGAGGUAACGGCUCACCAAGCCGACGAUGGAUAGGGAACUGAGAGGUUGGUCCCCCACACUGGUACUGAGACACGGACCAGACUCCUACGGGAGGCAGCAGUGAGGAAUAUUGGUCAAUGGGCGGGAGCCUGAACCAGCCAAGUCGCGUGAAGGAAGAAGGAUCUAUGGUUCGUAAACUUCUUUUGCAGGGGAAUAAAGUGCAGGACGUGUCCUGUUUUGUAUGUACCCUGAGAAUAAGGAUCGGCUAACUCCGUGCCAGCCGCUGC